This is a non-coding RNA of Camellia sinensis, 1127 nucleotides long. Lineage: Eukaryota; Viridiplantae; Streptophyta; Magnoliopsida; Ericales; Theaceae. The record is from RefSeq and is a predicted model, not a curated record.
AGUCACCUUGCUCGGUGGUUUGAGCCCCCACCAUAGACCAUAUCACCUCUUUUUUAGCCCAUGUCCAUCCUAAGGUCCAGCCAGGGCUCAUGAUGUGCCGGUACAUCUGAAAAUUGUUCAUUGUCACAACUGCCUGCAGUAUCUGAGAACUGCCAAGCUCACAAUGGCUGAUUACUAGUAUGUAUUGAAGAAAGAAAGAGAUGUGCAAGAGGAAUUGUCAAGGAGUUUGAGAUGGCUUACCUACUGGUGGUUAGACACCUAGAGGUUAUCUUCUAUCGCCCCCUUCCUUUUCUCUCAUGUUUAUAUUUCUGUUACGAGUUUUUCUGUAUCUUGAAGCAAUGACUUGGUGUGAAGUGAGAAGAAAAAAGGAGAGAAGAUAGGCGGGAGAUUUGAAGGCUGAACACAACAUUCCAACGGUUACCCUGACAGCCAAAGGUGACAGGCUACGUGAUGUUGCUAUUCAUGCUUACAUGGGAUAGUCUUGGAUGAAAUUGUUUUGCCAAACUUAACAUUGGACAUAGACAAAAAUCUUUGUCCCUCUGUCUCAAAUGCAGUUGCAAUCAUAGAACUAUAUCUAUAGUUUCUAGACCUUUCUUUGAUUAUAAAGGCAUCAUCGAAGAUAUGGGAAUGGGCUUAUGAUACUGCAAAACCUAUACAAGGGCAUUGAGAAAAAAAUAGUUGCAGAGGGCAUUUUGGUCAUCUCGAGUGACGGUGUUAGCUUCCUUGAAUCUUUGCCUAAGUGAAAAUUUAAAAAAAAAUCUUUUGAUUGGGAAAUUUGCUGAUUAUUAUUAUUGUCACGUUUACAGUCAGAAAAAGGUAGAGUUCGUGGCAAGUAAACAGGGGUAGGGACAAGUAGUGAGCUCCAUUCUCUGACAAAAAAAAUAAAAAGAGACAUCUCAACCAACAUUCAGCAGACUUUGGAUGCUUCAAGAAACAGUCUAACUUCUAAAGUACUUACUUUUUCAGUUUUCGGCCAUUUUGUCGGUGGUCCUAUGCUCUCAAUUGGUAUAAGCAAUAGGGAGCCAGAAUUUUGGUUCAGAAAAAACAUUAUUGAGUUAAAUUCUCAACAAAAAUUGUACUUUAUUUAAUUUUUUAUUUUGUAUUUGAUAGUAAGACUAAAAAUUAGU